UACCUGAGAAAUCUUUCUUCUUACCUGUAGUUAAAUUAACGUAAUAAGUAUUGUGUUUUCUUAAAUUUGUUCUGCCGAAACUGAACCAUUUCAAGUCUUUUGGGGGCCAUUUCAUUUCCGAAAAAUGUAUUUGAAAGAAUUCUUGUAAUUUUGUUUCGUUGGGUGUUUUUUGCGUAACGCUUCUCAAUUAAGUGUUAGUUUACCGAUAAAGUGCAAUACUGAGAAAGACUGGAAGCAUUUGGUGGAAAUCAUGACGAAUUGCUCAAGGAACGGAGUAAUAGGGUGAGUCUUUAAUGAAGCAGAGUAGCAGAGAUUGAGCCUCUCUCAGGUCUCAUGAGAGGACGCCGCAUCCUCCUAUAAAAAUGCAGGUAGGUGAAACUAUAACUUUCUCAUUUAGCCAUGGAAAUGCAGAAGUAACUCCAGAUGCUCGAGGACCUGGUUGUUUCAUAUUGACUGCAAUAAUCUGCUACGAUAAAGGUGAAACACUGUGCAGAACUUCCCAGAUAUGCUGAUCGCUGGUGUACUGCUUCUUGGAGAUCAAACACAAAAAUAAAGUACUGGAAGGCAAAUCAUCGAGCUGUGUUUGAAGGCAAAUUUUCCACGUAAUAAUUUUUUUGUCUCUUUCUCAGGUGAAUGAUGCAGAAGGGCGUCGAACUGCUGGAAAACCGAUCGUCUCCAAAUUAAAGGUUCAUAGCUGUCCUUGAGGAUGUGUAUGUUUCAGGGUUUUCAUUUCAAAACUUAUAUUUCCAAAAAAUAUUUAUUUUGGAUGAAAAUUUUAACGAGUCAAUCUGAUAAAUUUCCAGGUGAACCUCAGGGAUGAGUUGCUUGGACCACAUGAUUGAAAUGGCAGCCUAGUGGGUACUGAAAAUUGUGGAAACCUCCACACUGAAGGCCAUUGUUCUAUCAAGAAACGGUGAAAGAAUGCGUAGUGCGCGAUUUUUUUAUAUAAUUGAGGAGUUUUAUUCAAAAAGUUGCCAAUUUUCUUGAAAAAUCUUUUCCUUCUUACCUAGAGUUAUAUUACUGUAAUAAGUUUUAUGUUUUCUUAAAUUCGUUUUGCUGAAACUGAUCGAUUUCAAGUUUUUUUGAGGGCCGUUUCAUCACCGAAAAAUGAAUUUGAAAGAAUUCUUGUAAUUUUGUUUCGUUGGGUGUUUUUUGCGUAAUGCUUCUCAAUUAAGUGUUAGUUUACCGAUAAAGUGCAAUACUGAGAAAGACUGGAAGCAUUUGGUGGAAAUCAUGACGAAUGGCUCAAGGAACGGAGUAAUAGGGUGAGUGUUUAAUGAAGCAGAGUAGCAGAGAUUGAGCCUCUCUCAGGACUCAUGAGAGGACGCCGCAUCCUCCUAUAAAAAUGCAGGUAGGUGAAACUAUAACUUUCUAAUUUAGCCAUGGAAAUGCAGAAGUGCCUCCAGAUGCUCCAGGACCUGGUUUUUCAUAUUGAGUGCAAUAAUCUGCUACAAAAAAGGUGAAACACUGUGCAGAACUUCCCAGAUAUGCUGAUCGCUGGUGUACUGCUUCUUGGAGAUCAAACACAAAAAUAAAGUACUGGAAGGCAAAUUAUCGAUCUGUGUUUAAAGGCAAAUUUUUCACGUAAUAAUUUUUUGUCUCUUUCUCAGGUGACUGAUGCAGAAAGGCGUCGAGCUGCUGGAAAACCGAGCGUCUUCAAAUCAAGGGUUAAUAGCUGUCCUUGAGGAGGUUUAUAUUUCAGGGUUUUCAUUUUGAUACUUAUAGUUUCAAAAAACUUUUAUUUCGAAUGAAAAUUUUAACGAGACAAACUGAAUAAUUUCCAGGUGAACCUCAGAGAUGAGUUGCUUGGACCACGUGAUUGAAAUGGCAGCCUAGUGGGUAUUGAAAAUUGUGGAAACGUCCACACUGAAGGCCAUUGUUCUAUCAAGAAACGGUACAAGGUUCCGUAGUGCGCGAUUUUUUUAUAUGAUUGAGGAGCUUUAUUCAAAAAGUUACCAAUUUUCCUGAGAGAUAUUUCGUUUUCACCUGGAGUUAAAGUAAAGUAAUGAGUUUUAUGUUUUCUUAAAUUUGUUCUUCUGAAACUGAACGAUUUCAAGUCUUUUGGGGGCCAUUUCAUUUUCGAAAAAUGUUUUUGAAAGAAUUUUUGUAAUUUUGUUUCGUUGGGUGUUUUUUGCGUAAUGCUUCUCAAUUAAGUGUUAGUUUACCGAUAAAGUGCAAUACUGAGAAAGACUGGAAGCAUUUGGUGGAAAUCAUGACGAAUGGCUCAAGGAGCGGAGUAAUAGGGUGAGUGUUCAAUGAAGCAGAGUAGCAGAGAUUGAGCCUCUCUCAGGACUCAUGAGAGGACGCCGCAUCCUCCUAUAAAAAUGCAGGUAGGUGAAACUAUAACUUUCUAAUUUAGCCAUGGAAAUGCAGAAGUAACUCCAGAUGCUCGAGGACCUGGUUGUUUCAUAUUGACUGCAAUAAUCUGCUACGAUAAAGGUGAAACACUGUGCAGAACUUCCCAGAUAUGCUGAUCGCUGGUGUACUGCUUCUUGGAGAUCAAACACAAGAAUAAAGUACUGGAAGGCAAAUUAUCGAUCUGUGUUUAAAGGCAAAUUUUUCACGUAAUAAUUUUUUGUCUCUUUCUCAGGUGACUGAUGCAGAAAGGCGUCGAGCUGCUGGAAAACCGAGCGUCUUCAAAUCAAGGGUUAAUAGCUGUCCUUGAGGAGGUUUAUAUUUCAGGGUUUUCAUUUUGAUACUUAUAGUUUCAAAAAACUUUUAUUUCGAAUGAAAAUUUUAACGAGACAAACUGAAUAAUUUCUAGGUGAACCUCAGAGAUGAGUUGCUUGGACCACGUGAUUGAAAUGGCAGCCUAGUGGGUAUUGAAAAUUGUGGAAACGUCCACACUGAAGGUCAUUGUUCUAUCAAGAAACGGUACAAGGUUCCGUAGUGCGCGAUUUUUUUAUAUGAUUGAGGAGCUUUAUUCAAAAAGUUACCAAUUUUCCUGAGAGAUAUUUCGUUUUCACCUGGAGUUAAAUUAAAGUAAUAAGUUCUAUGUUUUCUUAAAUUUGUUCUGCUGAAACUGAACGAUUUCAAGUCUUUUGAGGGCCAUUUCAUUUUCGAAAAAUGUUUUUGAAGGAAUUUUUGUAAUUUUGUUUCAUUGUGUGUUUUUUGCGUAAUGCUUCUCAAUUAAGUGUUAGUUUACCGAUAAAGUGCAAUACUGAGAAAGACUGGAAGCAUUUGGUGGAAAUCAUGACGAAUGGCUCAAGGAACGGAUUAAUAGGGUGAGUGUUUAAUGAAGCAGAGUAGCAGAGAUUGAGCCUCUCUCAGGACUCAUGAGAGGACGCCGCAUCCUCCUAUAAAAAUGCAGGUAGGUGAAACCAUAACUUUCUAAUUUAGCCAUGGAAAUGCAGAAGUACCUCCAGAUGCUCCAGGACCUGGUUUUUCAUAUUGAGUGCAAUAAUCUGCUACAAAAAAGGUGAAACACUGUGCAGAACUUCCCAGUUAUGCUGAUCGCUAGUGAACUGCUUCUUGGAGAUCAUGACACGACAUGAGCUAAUAUGUAGCUAAAAAAACAUGUGAUCUCAUGAGAUUGGAGUUACAAGAAAAAUUCGAAUCUAAGACAGGAGACCAGAUGAUUUAAAAUAAAAAUAGGAAAAAAAUUUUCAGGUGAAUGAUGCAAGGGUAUUGAGCGGUUCAAAAAUAAAGUAUCUUCAAAUUGAGGGGUUCAAAGCUGCCCAUAAAAGGCAAUCCUCGGAGAAGAGAUUUGUACUACGCGUGAAAGCAAGCAUUGCUAGGCCAUUGUUCAUUGUCCAUUUUUUUAUGUCAUUGGUAACGAUGUGUCUCUUAGUGAUGGCGAUGCUGGCCAACCGACAAUAAAUGACUUGCUUUAGGGUGAAACAAAAAAAUGAAGUACUGGAAGGCAAUUUAUCGAUUUGUGUUUAUUAACGGCAAAUUUUUCACGUAAUAAUUUUUUUGUCUUUUUCUCAGCUCAAGGAUGCAGGGCGUCGAACUGCUGGAGAACCGAGCGUCUUCAAAUUAAAGGUUCAUAGCUGUCCUUGAGGAUGUGUAUGUUUCAGGGUUUUUAUUUCAAAACUUAUAUUUCCAAAAAAAUAUUUAUUUUGGAUGAAAAUUUUAACGAGUCAAACUGAUUAAUUUCCAGGUGA
Molecule: long non-coding RNA, 4106 nt
Organism: Coccinella septempunctata (seven-spotted ladybird)
Lineage: Eukaryota; Metazoa; Arthropoda; Insecta; Coleoptera; Coccinellidae
Exons: 19
Source: RefSeq, a predicted model, not a curated record